This 585-nucleotide ribosomal RNA is filed under the name uncultured bacterium. Its description in RNAcentral is "partial 16S ribosomal RNA". It matches the Rfam family "Bacterial small subunit ribosomal RNA", at positions 355 to 1375 of the family's 1533-position model. The record is from RNAcentral.
UGGGGAAUUUUGGACAAUGGGCGAAAGCCUGAUCCAGCAAUGCCGCGUGUGUGAAGAAGGCCUUCGGGUUGUAAAGCACUUUUGUCCGGAAAGAAAUCCUUGGCUCUAAUACAGUCGGGGGAUGACGGUACCGGAAGAAUAAGCACCGGCUAACUACGUGCCAGCAGCCGCGGUAAUACGUAGGGUGCAAGCGUUAAUCGGAAUUACUGGGCGUAAAGCGUGCGCAGGCGGUUUGCUAAGACCGAUGUGAAAUCCCCGGGCUCAACCUGGGAACUGCAUUGGUGACUGGCAGGCUAGAGUAUGGCAGAGGGGGGUAGAAUUCCACGUGUAGCAGUGAAAUGCGUAGAGAUGUGGAGGAAUACCGAUGGCGAAGGCAGCCCCCUGGGCCAAUACUGACGCUCAUGCACGAAAGCGUGGGGAGCAAACAGGAUUAGAUACCCUGGUAGUCCACGCCCUAAAACGAUGUCAACUAGUUGUCGGGGAUUCAUUUCCUUAGUAACGUAGCUAACGCGUGAAGUUGACCGCCUGGGGAGUACGGUCGCAAGAUUAAAACUAAAUGAAUUGACGGGGUCAUAGCUGUUUCCU